UACAGAGGUGGCAAGCGUUGUUCGGAAUUACUGGGCGUAAAGCGCACGUAGGCGGCUUUCUAAGUCAGGGGUGAAAUCCUGGAGCUCAACUCCAGAACUGCCUUUGAUACUGGAGAGCUUGAGUCCGGAAGAGGUGAGUGGAACUCCGAGUGUAGAGGUGAAAUUCGUAGAUAUUCGGAAGAACACCAGUGGCGAAGGCGGCUCACUGGUCCGGUACUGACGCUGAGGUGCGAAAGCGUGGGGAGCAAACAGG
Molecule: ribosomal RNA, 253 nt
Filed under: uncultured bacterium
Lineage: Bacteria
Description: partial 16S ribosomal RNA
Rfam family: Bacterial small subunit ribosomal RNA
Source: RNAcentral